AAAAAUGCUUUAUUGAUGAAGGAAAUUUUUGAAAACAAGAAUAAGGAACCACGUCUCUUGAUUGCUGUGGGUUGACAGUAUUAAUAGAUGAACAUCAGUCUACUCUUUGGUGAAAGAAGACCAGAAAACUUAUUCCUUAUUAAAGAAGAUGCGAAGCUCAGAAAGACUCACAGGACUAACUCCUUGGAGAUGAUGAAAUAAGAACAAGCUUAGCCUGGACUGUGUUUAGAGUGAUUUCAGAACAACCGAUCGAACCUGAAGUGUUCCACUCCUUCCGGAAUUGACUAGUGUGACUAUAUUUUCUUGAGAUGGCUGGCUCUCACGUUUCUCUUCCUCAGGACAUCUGAAUGGUCAUUCUUAAAAUGAGAGACAUACAGUGGUGAACUUCCCAGAAAGCCUGAUGAAGCUUGUUAUUGAAUAAUUAAUGAAAAUAACUGGUAUCAAAGCUUAUCAAAAUCAAAGCCUCUAUUCCAGGCACAGUAUACCUUCAAAUAAUGUAAAAUAAUAUCAGACUUUGCAAUUGUAGUUUAAUUAUGCUAUUAAUAUUACCAUAGUUUUAUUGCUUUAUCAGUAAAGACUUGUCGGUCUUAGAGGUAAAAUUAAUCUUUUUAUAUUUUCCUUCUGAUUAUAUUUGUUUCCAUAAAUUGCAAAUUGUAAGCCUAAUCAACCAUCAGGCAUUCAGCACAACUGCAUUUCAUUCUUUUUUUCAGUAGAGCAAGCACCCUAUGAUACUCGAUGGGCCAAAAUAAACAUUUUAUUAGUUUACAUUCUGAAUGCUCACAC
This is a non-coding RNA of Anas platyrhynchos (mallard), 783 nucleotides long. NCBI's taxonomy places the organism in Eukaryota, Metazoa, Chordata, Aves, Anseriformes, Anatidae. The record is from RefSeq and is a predicted model, not a curated record.